Molecule: long non-coding RNA, 2131 nt
Organism: Equus caballus (horse)
Lineage: Eukaryota; Metazoa; Chordata; Mammalia; Perissodactyla; Equidae
Source: RefSeq, a predicted model, not a curated record
GAGGUGGGUCCUGUUGCCACAGCCCCGAGACUCCUGAGAAGGUGGCUGUAAAGGUUUCGCUCUUCUCCACUUCAGUAAACCUGGGUGGGCUGGGGAGAAUGGGAAGGUUCCAGAAGCCACCUUGCACCUUGCACCUGUCUGCCCCUGGUGGCCAGCUUCCUGUCUCCCCAUCAUUUGGGCUCCCGCACCCUCAAUCUGGCUCUGAUUACCGGUUGCUGCCACCCACCCGCAGACUAACAAACAUGGACCAGCUGUGCCGCAGGAAAUCGCCUCCAACUCAGCCCGAUGCGGCAGGGAUGUCUUUAGUUAACAGAGUUAUGGAGGCUCGAUACUUUCUUUGACAAACACGUCCAAGUCCAGAGAGAGGGGAGAGGGGAGAGGGGCUCACCAGCGGCCGGGGAGGAAGCAAUUAACAGCUCCGCCCGAGGUUCCCGGCACCGUUGCGUCAUCCCUCCACGUUUUAUUGAACACUGGCUUUUUCUUUUGCAUUCUGUUCUUUUUUUUUUUUUUUCAACCAAAGGAAAUGAGCUUUUCUAAUCCAUCACUUUGAGCAACAUCAGAGGUAGAGUGGAAAAUAAAAAGGCUUCAUUGAGCACUGUUGGGGCUUUUUCCUCCCUCCGUGGCUCUGCCGGCUCUUUUGUGAAUGAACUUUUUCUUUCUUGUUGUUGUGGCCCUCUCUGUCUUACCAGGGAGGGCUCCAUGGCUUUUCAGCAUUUUGUACCCCAAAUACCAAUAGUUCCAAGACAAGGACACAUACUCAAUGCCUCUAGGAUCCAAAUGAGUAUAUAAGCCCGUGACAUAGUUUAGGUAUAAGACAUUAGGGAGUGGUGGGGACUGUGGCAAACUACAGAACUCAUGCCCCACCUGAAGGGGCUGCCAUUACGCAGAGCCACAUGAUGGCUAUUUGGGGCCCAUAUUUCAUGAGGACCUGAAAGUCUGGAUUUUUUUGGUAAAAACUUAAAAACACUACACAGGCCAAACAAAAACAGACAGAGGACCAGAGGCCUCCCGUUUACAAGAUCUGCUCCCUGGCUGAGCUUACGCUGGAGCCUGCUCAGCCUCUGGGUACCAGUCAGUGGGUGAAGGAGUUGGAGAAGCCCCAGAGGAAACGAGAUACAUCCUCUGGGAAAAUUUAUUUUAUUAGAAGGUUUUUUGGGAGGAAAGUUUGUGGAAUUUCCGAUAGACAACUGAUAGACAACUAAAAACAUCACUUUUAUAUCAAAACAAACUGAGAUGGAUUAUAGAGCCGAGUGUAAAAAUCAAAUCAAAAAGCUCCAGAACUUCAAAGAAAUUUUAUUGCUCCUUUUCAUCUGGUAUUGAGCAUUUUGAUGGGAAAGUUGAGAAACCCAAGAGACUUGAUUUUCCCAUCCGUGAAUCAGGUGUAAUAACAGGACCUGCUUGUGGGGUCGUUUCGAGGGAUCAAAGAGAUAAUGUGAAUGAAGUUCCUGGCCUCCCCGAGCAGCCAGCCUUCCUGCUGGUGCUCCCUCCCAAAUCCUUGUCUUGGAUUUGAUCUUCUGUCUCCCUGAGAAAUCCGUGAAUUUUAACCGGCCCCAGAACAGACAGGGGCAUGGCCUGUACUCACAACCUUCGUAGUGGCUCUCCCGGGUUCCUGAACAUCCUCUUCUCCUGCUAGCUCUUGGAAUUUUCGCUUCCUCUGGGAUGUCGAGCCACGUGUUGGACACAGCUCCUCUCAGUUCCACUGCUGGGUGUAGGCAGACACACAGUAGGAGCACAUUGAAAUUUGGUGGAGACAAAAGCUUGCAAAUUAGUUUCCCAAACAGGCCAUCUGCUUUAGUGAAAAUCAUUUCUGGCAGAAUUUUGAUGAGAUUCGAGCAUGUUGAGUGAUUUAUGGAGCUGUUAAACAUACACUAAAUCAAUCUUGCUCUUUUUUUUUUUUAAGGGUGGGAGUGGAGAAGUGACAUCCUUAAGGGAAAAAUAAAGUCUCUGAGAUAGAAUUUGCAACCUGGGGCCUGACAUUGCAGGGAAAAUGGCCACUGACUGUAAUACGAACCCAGCCAGUCAAUUUGAGUAUGAUAGUUUUAAUGUUCCCCAAAUCUUGCAAAAUGUGUAUCCAAUUAACCACUACUGAAGGGCCUUAUUUAUAAAAUAAUACUUUUGUGGUCAGGUUGCA